RNAcentral lists this ribosomal RNA (253 nucleotides) under uncultured bacterium. RNAcentral describes it as "partial 16S ribosomal RNA". It matches the Rfam family "Bacterial small subunit ribosomal RNA", at positions 524 to 776 of the family's 1533-position model. The record is from RNAcentral.
UACGUAGGGUGCGAGCGUUGUCCGGAAUUACUGGGCGUAAAGAGCUUGUAGGUGGUUUGUCGCGUUGUUCGUGAAAUCUCACGGCUCAACUGUGAGCGUGCGGGCGAUACGGGCAGACUAGAGUACUGCAGGGGAGACUGGAAUUCCUGGUGUAGCGGUGGAAUGCGCAGAUAUCAGGAGGAACACCGGUGGCGAAGGCGGGUCUCUGGGCCGAUACUGACGCUGAGGAGCGAAAGCGUGGGGAGCGAACAGG